This 546-nucleotide ribosomal RNA is filed under the name Colletotrichum boninense. RNAcentral describes it as "eukaryotic LSU rRNA". The stretch from base 173 to 326 matches the Rfam family "5.8S ribosomal RNA". Lineage: Eukaryota; Fungi; Ascomycota; Sordariomycetes; Glomerellales; Glomerellaceae. The record is from RNAcentral.
ACCCUUUGUGACAUACCUACAACUGUUGCUUCGGCGGGUAGGCCGUCCCCUGAAAAGGACGCCUCCCGGCCCGGACCGGACCCCCCGCGGGACCGGACCCGGCGCCCGCCGGAGGAUAACCAAACUCUAUUGUAACGACGUUUCUUCUGAGUGGCAUAAGCAAAAUAAUCAAAACUUUUAACAACGGAUCUCUUGGUUCUGGCAUCGAUGAAGAACGCAGCGAAAUGCGAUAAGUAAUGUGAAUUGCAGAAUUCAGUGAAUCAUCGAAUCUUUGAACGCACAUUGCGCCCGCCAGCAUUCUGGCGGGCAUGCCUGUUCGAGCGUCAUUUCAACCCUCAAGCUCUGCUUGGUGUUGGGGCUCUACGGUCGACGUAGGCCCUCAAAGGUAGUGGCGGACCCUCCCGGAGCCUCCUUUGCGUAGUAACAUUUCGUCUCGCACUGGGAUCCGGAGGGACUCUUGCCGUAAAACCCCCCAAUUUUCCAAAGGUUGACCUCGGAUCAGGUAGGAAUACCCGCUGAACUUAAGCAUAUCAAUAAGCGGAGGAA